CAGCAUUAAGAAUCAGUUCUAAGAGAUCAUUUAUGCAAAUAACAAAACAUCAUCAUGUGGUUAAUGCAUAAACCUCUAAUAUAGCUCUUUCAGGAAUUUCAUCAAACACUUUUGGUGCAUGAAAUUCCCAGAUUUUAGAUCACAAGUGAUGUGCAAGGAUCUAGCUUAGAGAACAGAUAUUUAGAGAGAUGAAAGCAUGGAUCUAGCCCUAAGCACUCCUAAUCUAAC
This 228-nucleotide long non-coding RNA is filed under the name Eutrema salsugineum. RNAcentral describes it as "long non-coding RNA (ESAL_LNC001342)". The record is from RNAcentral. Lineage: Eukaryota; Viridiplantae; Streptophyta; Magnoliopsida; Brassicales; Brassicaceae.